This 968-nucleotide ribosomal RNA is filed under the name Actinomycetes bacterium. Its description in RNAcentral is "Actinobacteria bacterium partial 23S ribosomal RNA". It matches the Rfam family "Bacterial large subunit ribosomal RNA", at positions 1960 to 2925 of the family's 2925-position model. The record is from RNAcentral. Lineage: Bacteria; Bacillati; Actinomycetota; Actinomycetes.
CGAAAUUCCUUGUCAGGUAAGUUCUGACCUGCACGAAUGGCGUAACGACUUGGGCACUGUCUCGACCAGGGACUCGGCGAAAUUGCAAUACGAGUAAAGAUGCUCGUUACCCGCGGAAGGACGGAAAGACCCCGGGACCUUUACUGCAGCUUGAUGUUGGGUUCUGGCAUGUGUUGCGUAGGAUAGGUGGGAGGCGUCGAAGCGGAGCUUCCGGGCUUCGUGGAGCCAACCUUGAAAUACCACCCUUCACUAGUUGGGACUCUAACCCAGGCCCGUGAUCCGGGUCGGGGACAGCGUCUGGUGGGCAGUUUAACUGGGGCGGUUGCCUCCUAAAAUGUAACGGAGGCGCCCAAAGGUUCCCUCAGCCUGGUUGGCAAUCAGGCGUCGAGUGCAAGGGCACAAGGGAGCUUGACUGCGAGAUCGACGGAUCGAGCAGGAGCGAAAGCUGGGCCUAGUGAUCCGACGGCUCCAUGUGGAAGGGCCGUCGCUCAACGGAUAAAAGGUACCCCGGGGAUAACAGGCUGAUCCUACCCAAGAGUCCAUAUCGACGGUAGGGUUUGGCACCUCGAUGUCGGCUCGUCUCAUCCUGGGGCUGGAGCAGGUCCCAAGGGUCGGGCUGUUCGCCCGUUAAAGAGGCACGCGAGCUGGGUUUAGAACGUCGUGAGACAGUUCGGUCCCUAUCCUCCGUGGGCGUAGGAGGCUUGACGGGAGCUGCCCCUAGUACGAGAGGACCGGGGCGGACGAACCUCUAGUGUGCCAGUUGUCGCGCCAGCGGCACGGCUGGUUGGCUACGUUCGGAAGGGAUAAGCGCUGAAAGCAUCUAAGUGCGAAGCCCACCCGGAGAUGAGGCCUCCCACUGGGAGACCAGGUAAGGGCCCUGGAAGACCACCAGGUUGAUAGGCGGGACGUGGAAGCACGGCAACGUGUGGAGCUGACCCGUACUAAUAGCCCGAGGACUUGACCCUAUU